RNAcentral lists this ribosomal RNA (232 nucleotides) under Microcystis sp. AN106-CH. Its description in RNAcentral is "partial 16S ribosomal RNA". It matches the Rfam family "Bacterial small subunit ribosomal RNA", at positions 618 to 848 of the family's 1533-position model. The record is from RNAcentral. Lineage: Bacteria; Bacillati; Cyanobacteriota; Cyanophyceae; Chroococcales; Microcystaceae.
CCUAAGGCGGUGGAACUGGCAGACUAGAGAGCAGUAGGGGUAGCAGGAAUUCCCAGUGUAGCGGUGAAAUGCGUAGAGAUUGGGAAGAACAUCGGUGGCGAAAGCGUGCUACUGGGCUGUAUCUGACACUCAGGGACGAAAGCUAGGGGAGCGAAAGGGAUUAGAUACCCCUGUAGUCCUAGCCGUAAACGAUGGAUACUAGGCGUGGCUUGUAUCGACCCGAGCCGUGCCG